Molecule: long non-coding RNA, 1721 nt
Organism: Amphiprion ocellaris (clown anemonefish)
Lineage: Eukaryota; Metazoa; Chordata; Actinopteri; Pomacentridae
Source: Ensembl
AGAGCAGAACCGCCUCCCCAGCUGUUGCCAUGACAACAGCGAAACGAUCCCGGCGCAUUCCCCGUUGUCUGGCCCGCGGUUACCAGGCAACAGCUACACAAAUCCAGGAAAACAUCCGGAGGAGACCAUCGAUCGUCUCUCCGAUCGGCCGAACGUGGAGCAAACUGCAGGACGAGUUUCCUCAUCAGAACUCCUGGACGGUACAUCCACUGACACCAUGACGACUUGCUCACUUCCGGUGUUAAUAGACGGCAGCGGUUCUCGACCAAAAGUCAAAGUGGAAAACGGAAUAAGAAAGGUUUUUGUAACACAGUCGGACGACAACAGUCACAGACAGAAAGAACAUGUGAGCCAGACACCUGCAGCAACAGAGACUUCAAGGAGACUUCGAGAGGUAGGAGUGCAUACUUUGCAAAGGAGCCUGGUUCUGAAGAAACAGGCAGAGAUGAGUGAAGUGGACAAGCGGCUUGCACUCAAACGGCAAGAGUUUAAGGAGAGUGUGGAGGCUAUGGCUCAGAGAAGGUCUGAGCUGGAGGAAAAACAACAGCAGACUAAAGAAAAAGUGAUGAAAUUUGAGAAGUUUGUGGCUGAAAAUGAACUGAAACGACGUCAAAUGCUGAAGACGUGUGAAGCAACACGGGAGCAGAACAUUUUGAAAAAAAGAGAGAUAGAAGAUUUGACAGAACAACUGAAACAACUUAGAGCCAGAAAGCAAGUAUUAAAGGAGAGAAUGACAAAAUACAAAAUCUAUGAGGACUACCUGAUGAAAACACUAGAAAACUUCCCAGGCCAUUACCUUGAUAACGGGUCUGAAUCUCUGGUGAUGCCCAUCAUCCGCCGCCAUGAGACCCUGUCCAUCACCCACCAGGAGCUGCUGCAGCGUCUGGGCCGGAUGGAGGAGCAGGUGGAGCAGGGCCACCGCCUGCUGCAGAACAUGAAGCAGGAGCACAGCAUAAAGAAGCUGAUGGCCAGCAAAGAAGUGUCUGAACUCCAGAGUGAGUUAGAAACCCUGAAGGAGAAGAACAAGCAGACAGAGGUUAACUUACAGAUGGAGCAGGGCCUAUCCAGAGAGAAGAUUGAGGAAGUGGGCAGAUUACUUAUGGCCAUCAACAACCUUGCAGAACAGUGUUAUAUACCAACAUAUGGACCACUGGAGAGCAUGAAUGUGUUGACAAUGAUGGACAUGGUGAAGGAGUGCAUUCUGGACAAGGCGGACACACAGAGGAGAGUGAGGAGGCUGAUGGAGUCGGGUUCUGCAAUGACAAGUACGACAGCUGCGACAGACAAAAGAGGAAGAGGACCUUUGAAAACCAUCAGAAGUAAAACACAAAUCAAAAGUUCAAGCAAAGUCAGUGGAAAGAGUGAGACAUUUAGCUGAUGUUGUGGUUUUAGUACGUAUCACAGUGUUGGCUCUGACAGUAAUUUCACACAGUUGAGUCUUGACAUAGAAACGUUAAUUUUUGGAUUGAUAUGAAUGUUGAUUUGAAACAGCUAUGCAGCAAAUAUUGCACUUAAAAUGUCAAAUACAGACAGUGAACUGAAUUCAAAUGAGUGAGAGCUGUGUAGAUGUUUAUCACUGUAAUCAUUGUUUCAUUUUAAAAUAAAAUGCUUACGAUCAAAGGAUGUUAUCAGAAAGUACUUAUCCAGACCUAGUAUGCAAAGAUGUGCAUGCAGUUUCCUCAUGUAUUUAAAUUAUACAUACAGCAAUGAGCAACAUAGAC